GAUGAACGCUGGCGGCGUGCUUAACACAUGCAAGUCGAACGAAGCAAUUUUUUACGAUCCCUUCGGGGUGACGGUUUGUUGACUGAGUGGCGGACGGGUGAGUAACGCGUGGGUAACCUGCCUUGUACAGGGGGACAACAGUUGGAAACGACUGCUAAUACCGCAUAAGCGCACAGCUUCGCAUGAAGCAGUGUGAAAAGUUAUUUCGGUACAAGAUGGACCCGCGUCUGAUUAGCUAGUUGGUGAGGUAACGGCCCACCAAGGCGACGAUCAGUAGCCGACCUGAGAGGGUGACCGGCCACAUUGGGACUGAGACACGGCCCAAACUCCUACGGGAGGCAGCAGUGGGGAAUAUUGCACAAUGGGCGAAAGCCUGAUGCAGCGACGCCGCGUGAGCGAAGAAGUAUUUCGGUAUGUAAAGCUCUAUCAGCAGGGAAGAUAAUGACGUAC
RNAcentral lists this ribosomal RNA (450 nucleotides) under bacterium LC3004. RNAcentral describes it as "bacterial SSU rRNA". It matches the Rfam family "Bacterial small subunit ribosomal RNA", at positions 28 to 459 of the family's 1533-position model. The record is from RNAcentral.